AUCGAAGAGCAUGACUUUAAUACAAAGCUUCGAAAUGCACGCAAGUUUCUUACAAAAGGAGAUAAAGUAAAAGCUGCGAUCCGUUUCCGCGGACGUGCGAUUACUCACUCCGAACUCGGACGCGACGUGCUUAUGCGCCUUGCAAAAGAGUGUGAAGAUGUAGCGGUCAUCGAAUCAAAACCGAAAAUGGAAGGCCGCAGUAUGUUCCUGAUACUUGCGCCUAACGCAGAAAACGAAAAAUAAGACGACCGUGAUUCAGCCCGCGGCCUGAUUUUAUUUCACCAGACAACGACAACAAUAACCUUGUAUAGGAAGGAUGUUCAACAUGCCAA
Molecule: unclassified non-coding RNA, 332 nt
Filed under: Alkalicoccus daliensis
Lineage: Bacteria; Bacillati; Bacillota; Bacilli; Caryophanales; Bacillaceae
Description: Bacillus daliensis Long range pseudoknot
Source: RNAcentral